GUGAGGAAUAUUGGUCAAUGGGCGGGAGCCUGAACCAGCCAAGUCGCGUGAAGGAAGAAGGAUCUAUGGUUCGUAAACUUCUUUUGCAGGGGAAUAAAGUGCAGGACGUGUCCUGUUUUGUAUGUACCCUGAGAAUAAGGAUCGGCUAACUCCGUGCCAGCAGCCGCGGUAAUACGGAGGAUCCGAGCGUUAUCCGGAUUUAUUGGGUUUAAAGGGGGCGUAGGUGGUUUGAUAAGUCAGCGGUGAAAGUUUGCAGCUUAACUGUAAAAAUGCCGUUGAAACUGUCGGACUUGAGUGUAAAUGAGGUAGGCGGAAUGCGUGGUGUAGCGGUGAAAUGCAUAGAUAUCACGCAGAACUCCGAUUGCGAAGGCAGCUUACUAAGCUACAACUGACACUGAAGCACGAAAGCGUGGGGAUCAAACAGGAUUAGAUACCCGGGUAGUCC
RNAcentral lists this ribosomal RNA (445 nucleotides) under uncultured bacterium. Its description in RNAcentral is "partial 16S ribosomal RNA". It matches the Rfam family "Bacterial small subunit ribosomal RNA", at positions 354 to 796 of the family's 1533-position model. The record is from RNAcentral.